Molecule: transfer RNA, 65 nt
Filed under: Culex sitiens
Lineage: Eukaryota; Metazoa; Arthropoda; Insecta; Diptera; Culicidae
Description: tRNA-Thr
Rfam family: tRNA
About the family: Transfer RNA (tRNA) molecules are approximately 80 nucleotides in length. Their secondary structure includes four short double-helical elements and three loops (D, anti-codon, and T loops).
Source: RNAcentral
GUUUUAAUAGUUUAAUAAAAACAUUAGUCUUGUAAACUAAAAAUAAAAACUUUUUUUUUAAAACU